This is a non-coding RNA of Pelobates cultripes (western spadefoot toad), 655 nucleotides long. Lineage: Eukaryota; Metazoa; Chordata; Amphibia; Anura; Pelobatidae. The record is from the annotation of a GenBank genome assembly.
AUUGAAUAUUGUAAAGCACUGCGGAAUAAGUUGGCGCUAAUGAAAUGCCAGUAAUAAUAAUAAUAACUGGAACAUUUAUAUAUUUAUUUAUUGAUACAUUAUUUACGAGGAAGGAUAUAUUAAGAUUUGCAUUUCGAAAGAAAACUAAAAUACUCAAAUGCAAAAACCAGACCACUCUGCAGAGUAUCCAUCCUAGCAGAAAAUAAGUGAAAAAACUACUACUAAUAAUGCGUGUUCUCUUUGUAAAUAGCUAUCAUUCUUGACUCAAUGUCAAACAGAUACUGAUUAAUACAACGUCACUAGUUUGGAUAUAAAUCUCAGUAUCAACAUCAGGUUUUUUUUUAUUUAGUUCUCUGGAGAAAGCCAAAGCGACACAUAUUGUCUGUGACAGUGCAUUGAAAUUAGCGUGGAUUGUGUAGAAGGUGGCAUUGUACCAGGCACUGAUUGGGGUAUUUAGUGGAUUGACAUCCUACAUGUGGAACUGAAAUGGGAUCGGAUAUUUCUGUUACUGUUUCACCUUCAUCUGUAACAAUUCAGUGAAAAUGUUAAUUUUUUUUAACAUAUAAUUAACAUUCCCUUUUCUGUGUGAACGUAUGACAAACGCUCCAUCAAUAUGUAGAUUCGUACAUUCUAGUAAGCAAACAGCAAACAAAAG